This 72-nucleotide transfer RNA is filed under the name Actinomycetota bacterium. Its description in RNAcentral is "tRNA-Lys". It matches the Rfam family "tRNA". From Rfam's summary of the family: Transfer RNA (tRNA) molecules are approximately 80 nucleotides in length. Their secondary structure includes four short double-helical elements and three loops (D, anti-codon, and T loops). Further hydrogen bonds mediate the characteristic L-shaped molecular structure. tRNAs have two regions of fundamental functional importance: the anti-codon, which is responsible for specific mRNA codon recognition, and the 3' end, to which the tRNAs corresponding amino acid is attached (by aminoacyl-tRNA synthetases). tRNAs cope with the degeneracy of the genetic code in two manners: having more than one tRNA (with a specific anti-codon) for a particular amino acid; and 'wobble' base-pairing, i.e. permitting non-standard base-pairing at the 3rd anti-codon position. Lineage: Bacteria; Bacillati; Actinomycetota. The record is from RNAcentral.
GGGACCAUAGCUCAACGGCAGAGCAGAGGAUUUUUAACCCUCCGGCUGCGGGUUCGACUCCCGCCGGUCUCG